CCCUUCUACCACCUCUCCAUCUCUCCCCAAUGGCCCAAUAUGAUAAGAUCACUCUUUAUUUGUUUCUAUGAGUUACACUUGCCACUUUUGGAGAUUUGCUUACAGUUCAGAUCUUGUUAGGUCAAUAGCAGCAUCUUCUGCCUCCUCCUUUUGUAAGAUGAAGGUGUUAACAUCCCUACUGAGCUCCUAUCCCUUUCCUCUCCGUUGUCGGGCUUAAACGUCUACAUUGUCAAGGUGGAGGAUGUUUAUACUGUGUACUUUUACCUAAAGUCUUCUGGUUUGACUCAAUUUUAGGAGUGGACAGUCAUUAAACAGUGAUUGCAUUGUUGUGACUAUGUAAACGUCGUUCACUGCAGAGCCAACCAGUGUGCUGUGAGGACGCCACCCUCCUCCAGCAGGAUGCUCCACGGUAUGGCUGGUGAGUGGAGAAGGUCCGUGCCCAGGAUCUGAACCUGUGAACCUGGGCUGCCGAAGAGGAGCACAAGGAACUUUAACCACUUGACCAUGGGGCCGGCCCCCCGGCUGGGCUUUCUUAAUACUUAAAAAUAAGAUAAGAGCAAUUCUCCCCUAUGAAAGUAUGAAAUAUUUGCUGGGCAUGAGGCUUGACUGGAGCUCAGGCAGAAUAUGGACACCUUGACACAAGGUCCCCAUUGAACUUGGAGGAAAAACCAGCCCCCAUGUUGUGAGCUACCCUAUGGAGAGGCCCAUUUGGUGAGGAACUGGUGUCUCCAGCCAACAGCCCGUGAGGCAUUGAGGUCUGCCAACAGCCACGGGAGCAAGCCUGGGAAUGGCUCCUCUCCUAGUUGAGCCUGGAGACACCUACAGUUCUGGCUGCAGCCUUGGGAGAGAUUCUGAGUCAGAGGCACCAAGAAGCACCCAGCUAAGCUGUGCCCAGAUUCCUGACCAGUAGAAAUUCCCAGGGAGAAGCCAGUCCCAGAUCAUGAGGACACUCAAGAAGCCCAGUGUGGUGAUGAACUGAGGCCUCCUGCCAACAGCCAGCACCAACUUACCAGAUACGUGAAUGAGCCAGGCUGGACGCAGAUCAGUCAGCCCCAGCCAAGUCUUCAAUUGACUGCAACCCCAGCUGCCACCUUGAUUGCACUCUCUUGAGCAACCUGGAGCCAGAACUACCCAAUCAAGCUUCUUCUGAAUUCCCGACCUACAGAAAUUGAAAGCUGGAUGAAACCAGAAUGACAUCAAAGACCAUGAUGAUGGAGCCAUGAGAUGGAAUCAGACUGCUUGGAAGAGAGUACCUCACCUGUAUCCAUCUUUGAUACUCCUGAUUCUGCCAUCUUCUGCUUGCUGUAAAAGAAUCAGCCCAUCUUUCCAUCCUUAUACCAAGCCAAAGAACACAACUGUGGAGAAGGA
Molecule: long non-coding RNA, 1368 nt
Filed under: Equus caballus (horse)
Lineage: Eukaryota; Metazoa; Chordata; Mammalia; Perissodactyla; Equidae
Description: lncRNA (ENSECAG00000052372.1)
Source: RNAcentral